Molecule: long non-coding RNA, 204 nt
Filed under: Elaeis guineensis (African oil palm)
Lineage: Eukaryota; Viridiplantae; Streptophyta; Magnoliopsida; Arecales; Arecaceae
Description: long non-coding RNA (EGUI_LNC031950)
Source: RNAcentral
UCAGUUCAUCUCCUGGAGCCUUUGAUCCAGGAGGUCCUCUCGACUGCGAGUCUCGAGGGUCUUCUGGCAGAAUGGAGGUAGGGACCCUCCGGGGGUGGAAUCGUGAUCAGACUGAGGGCUCUCCACCCUCGGCUUCCCCUUUCCGGAGAAGACAGGGCGACUGGCCCAAGUGGCCCACCCUAUUGCCGGACUUUGGAACUCUGA